CAGUUUAGCCCAGUGGGAGCUCUUUCAUUUGGUUCCUGAUAUACCCUGAUAUCCUCCAUCAAAAUGGAAGCCCAUUUGAAUUCAGGUGGUCAACACAAACAAAAUUAUGAGCAGUCUGCUGAUCAGAGACCUCAGUGACACUAAUCUAUUGCUCAGUCUGGGAGAAGAUCCAGGCCAACAUUCCACAAGUCUACCUACUACUAACAAAAGGUACACUUUCAAGUGAUUUUCUCAAUUCAGAGGAACUCAGAAAUUAAGAGGUCCCAAAGGAGCAUAGAUAGCUUGG
Molecule: long non-coding RNA, 286 nt
Organism: Prionailurus viverrinus (fishing cat)
Lineage: Eukaryota; Metazoa; Chordata; Mammalia; Carnivora; Felidae
Exons: 3
Source: RefSeq, a predicted model, not a curated record